This 74-nucleotide transfer RNA is filed under the name Sediminivirga luteola. RNAcentral describes it as "tRNA-Arg". It matches the Rfam family "tRNA". From Rfam's summary of the family: Transfer RNA (tRNA) molecules are approximately 80 nucleotides in length. Their secondary structure includes four short double-helical elements and three loops (D, anti-codon, and T loops). Lineage: Bacteria; Bacillati; Actinomycetota; Actinomycetes; Micrococcales; Brevibacteriaceae. The record is from RNAcentral.
GCCCCCUUAGCUCAGUGGAUAGAGCGUCUGCCUCCGGAGCAGAAGGCCGCAGGUUCGAAUCCUGCAGGGGGCAC